UGAAUCUAUGGACAAAUCAUUAUCAUCUAAAAAAGAAAAUUUUGCAGCUGAAAUAAAACUUAUAAUAAAUCUUAUACAUUAGUAAGUGACGUAAUAAUUUGUACUUACUUUCCUUUCCUUUUUAGAACAUAAUACAUCCAACUAUAGAAAUAUACAAUACACGCAUUUACAAGGUCGAGCAUGUGACCUAUAAAAUCACUGACCGACACAUAACAAUGUAAUCCAGGUGUUAAAAGUACAAAAAAUUAAAUGUCAAUUAUAUAAGUAAAGGUAAAUUAUUGUGUAGAUUGUAGUGUGUUUUGGGGGACUUUUGAUGUAUUUUAUUUACUGGUAGAAUAUUGUGAAUAAUUUAUACGCAAACUCAAUCUGUGUAAUUAAUAUGAAUGUAUAACUUAUGUAUGGAAAAAAUAUAAAAUAGAUUUUUUUUUUAUAAUAGAGUCCACCGUUUAUCCCUGGACGUUGGAUCAUUGUAAACACAGGGCCCCUUGUGUAUUCUUCCCUGGGUUAUACAAGGAAAAUUGUAUUCAGGUGAUUUUCAAUAAAUGUAUUUCAAGUCUUAAAAAAAAAAA
Molecule: long non-coding RNA, 569 nt
Filed under: Mytilus galloprovincialis (Mediterranean mussel)
Lineage: Eukaryota; Metazoa; Mollusca; Bivalvia; Mytilida; Mytilidae
Source: RNAcentral